CCCUGAGGGAGGUAGAAGGCGGAGGAGAUGUGAAAGGCAAUCGGCCUGCUGGUACCUCCCUUCCCUGGGCCUCUCUGACGACACCAGCCUUGGGAGCUCAGCUCAGGCUGAUGAUUAGGGAAUGUAGGCAGAAAGGGGUCCCAAACUCAGAGGCUCAGCAGCCUGGGCAAGGAGGCCUCUUGAGGGCUCUCCACUUCUUGUAUGCAAUCCCAGCUUUCUGAGCCCCACAGGACCUGCGCUGGACACUUCGGGUGGGGAGUCUAGGCUGGGGGCACUGUCUGGACUCAGCUGUAAGCUUCCUGAGUACCUAGGGAGACCCAGAAGAGUAGGCUCUGCCCUCACCAGUAUCUCCACCACUACAGGCACCAGGCUGCCUAGGAACCCCGGUGGUGCCUGCAACACCUCCGUAGAGAACCGCACAGCUCGACGGAGGAUCCGACGAAGAACCAGCCUGGAGGGGUUCAGAGGCCAAAUAUGAAUGCCCAGCAACCCUUGGUCAGCAGUAUGGAGAGUGGGGAGGACAAAGUCCAGACCCUUCCAGACUCACGGGGCGCCCGACAUUCCAGGGUAGACACCAUCAGCGAUGCAGACACUGAGUGUGCGGAUGUGAUCGGCCACCACGCGAUAUGCCAUGUCUGUGCGACCCUUGUCUGCUGCUCCGACCUGGCCCAAAACCUUGCUGAGUUAUGACGUGAACAAGCCCCAGCUAGUCUGGUGCUUGACCGACAUGCAGCCUGGUCACCCACGAUGCCCUGAACUGCCAGCCAGCCAGCCGAUCCUUGGAAGUAGAACUUCCUCACAGCUGACUACAGGUCUAUGAAUGAACUCACAGAAGACCAAAAGAAUGACCCAACAAAACCCAGCUAGCAUUGCUAGCCCACAGACUUAUGCUACAUAACUUAUUAUUUUAAAAUACAAAGUGUUAGGUGGGUUGUUACACAGCAAAAUCUCAGUGACACAUUCUCCAGCUACAUCCCACGUGACUCUACUUUAGCUAGCUGGCCACCCUUGUGUUCCUUUCCUGCCUCACAUCCUUGGUACCUGCUGUCCCCUCUACCUGGAAUGAGCUUCCUGUGGCUGGCUCCUCCUCUUUCAGGUUUCAGCUCAAAGAUCAUCUCUUUGGUGAGCCUUCCCCACACACCGGGUCUAAGAUUCCUCUGUACCCAUCCCCUUCUCCUUGUUACUGUCACCCACCUGUACUGCCUGGUCACAAUCUGCAAUCCUGUUCAAAUCUGCCAUUUGUUCUUUCACACAUUUAUUAUUUAUCUCCUAGGCUACAACAUAAUCUCUGUGAUCUCUUUUCUGUUUACUAUUAUUCUCCCGUACCAAGUACAAAGAACUUCACCCAAAGUAGGCACUCAACACAUACUUUUUGAAUGAAGGAAGGAAGGAAGGAGUUAGGGGCAGUAUCAGGUAACAAACAUGAAUCUCAGCCUCAUGUUUGACCCUGGUAUCCUUGGCUGGUCAUGAGGGAGUAUGUGAAGUACUCAACAAAGACGGAGAGCAAUAGCUUCUGGAAGGGAAGAGGCAAGCUCACCUGGUGUAUGGCUUUGAGCAGCGGGGAAAAGAGGUCAGUGUCGUAGGUGGAGGGUGUGCCUUGCAGCACAGCUACCAGUCUUUCCAGGCCCAUUCCUGUGUCCACGUGCCGCUGGGGCAGGGGCUGCAGGCUUCCAUCUGUCUCUCUGGCCAGGGAAGGUGUGCAAGGUGAGGCCCCACAUAGGAUUUCAGGGGUGAGGCAGAUGCCCAAAUGCAGUGGAGGAAUGAGGGGGCUGAGAGUGGGAGGAACCAGAAGGCAGUAUCCACCCCUCCCACUGAAGACAGAUAGCGAUGGCCUUUGUUCCUGUGUGUACUUUCUCAUAAAGGGUGAUCUCCACCCUCACCCCUCCGCCUCUCAAUGGGACCCACACGUCCCCUUUCUGGGAUAGAAUUCUUUGUCCUGAGAAAGAGACACGUCAAAGCUGGAGGAAAAUCUCAGAGAUCAUGAAGCUCAGCAUCAUCCUGUGAUACAACAGCAGAGGCCUAAGAGGAGCAAUGACUAGUUUAAACUGUUAUAAGCAUAGUCAGUUGGGCAUCUGACUCUUGGUUUUGGCUCAGGUCAUGGGAUCAGGCCCCCGCAUUGGGAUCCAUGCUGAGCAUGGAGCCUGCUCCGGAUUCUCCUGAGAUUCUCUCUUUCUCCUUCUCCCUCUGCACCCCUCCUCAGUUCCUGUGUGCUCUCGCUCUCUCAAACAAACAAACAAACAAACAAACAAACACUGUUAAGUGCACAGACUAGAGUUAAAUCAAUUAUUAUCUGAAAAGUAUUUAGCAAUGUGCCUGGCACACAAUAAGCACCAUUUAAGUGUUUGUUUUUCUUUAAUAAGAAGCAGAUCAAAGUCUCUUGGCUACCGCCUUUUCCAUUUCUGGCCAGGGAUUUUCCUCCUGCUUCAGCAUUCCAUUACCUGUUGUGUUGAAUGAAGACCAGAUUCCAAAGCUCCACCAGCUGGGGGGCUCCCACUCUACCAGCCAGGUCAUAGUGGAUCUCGGUACAGGGCCCACAUGGGCCAGUGUCCCCCAUCUCCCAGAAGUUCUCUUCUGGUCCAAAGGAAAGCACAUGGCUGGCAUGCACCCUGAGAAGAAAGCCGGAUGAGUAGUAGGAAGACAGACAAACCUGGAAGCCAGAACGCUCUUUGCCAUGAGAGCCUCUCCAUCAAGCUCAUCAAGAGGAGAGACAAGGCUG
This is a long non-coding RNA of Canis lupus familiaris (dog), 2716 nucleotides long. RefSeq lists it as uncharacterized. The transcript is spliced from 3 exons. The record is from RefSeq and is a predicted model, not a curated record. Lineage: Eukaryota; Metazoa; Chordata; Mammalia; Carnivora; Canidae.